ACAACGCCCAAAAAAGAGUA
This 20-nucleotide transfer RNA is filed under the name Pongo abelii (Sumatran orangutan). Its description in RNAcentral is "partial tRNA-Gly". Lineage: Eukaryota; Metazoa; Chordata; Mammalia; Primates; Hominidae. The record is from RNAcentral.